UACGAAGGGGGCUAGCGUUACUCGGAUUGACUGGGCGUAAAGGGCGCGUAGGCGGUUUGUACAGUCAGACGUGAAAUUCCUGGGCUCAACCUGGGGGCUGCGUUUGAUACGUGCGGACUUGAGUUCGGAAGAGGGUCGUGGAAUUCCCAGUGUAGAGGUGAAAUUCGUAGAUAUUGGGAAGAACACCGGUGGCGAAGGCGGCGACCUGGUCCGAUACUGACGCUGAGACGCGAAAGCGUGGGGAGCGAACAGG
RNAcentral lists this ribosomal RNA (253 nucleotides) under uncultured bacterium. Its description in RNAcentral is "partial 16S ribosomal RNA". It matches the Rfam family "Bacterial small subunit ribosomal RNA", at positions 524 to 776 of the family's 1533-position model. The record is from RNAcentral.